Non-coding RNA from Microcebus murinus (gray mouse lemur), 1372 nucleotides. The record is from RefSeq and is a predicted model, not a curated record. NCBI's taxonomy places the organism in Eukaryota, Metazoa, Chordata, Mammalia, Primates, Cheirogaleidae.
UUGAUUAUAGUUCUAGGUUUUCUAAAUUCAGAGAAUAGACAAAUGGCAAUGCUAUCAAUUGGGCUGGGGAAUAAAGGAGAACCAAUUAGUGCAUAGGGAAAGAUGACUAGUGAGAUACAAAAUUCCAGGUGUCUGGUAAAAUAUAGAUGCUGAAGUACGAGGAAAUCAGGCUGUGCUUCUCAGAGAAAUAUUUGGUCUACUGAUAUGCAGGUGGAGCUGGGAUCCACCUACAAUGGUAUGAGAGAGUGUAAGAGUUGAAAAUCACCCCCAGCAAGCACACAGAAUAAUCAGACCAAGACCACAUCACUGGCAAGACAUUAGCAUGUAUAGAAUAGGAGGAAGAGUUACUUAAAGAGAAAGAGGAGUGAUCAGAGAGGAGCUGGGAGAAGCAGAGAGAGCUUCCAGGGUUUGCUUGUGAGUAUUCCCCACUACAUGAAUCGAGGAGAAGAAGCCUGAGAGCAGGUCCUAGCCCUGGACGAUUAUCAGGUCACGGAUGACAUGGGCAGGAACUACCUCUGUGGUGUGGUCAACACAAAAGCUAGACCCAAGUGGGUUGAGGAGUGCCUUAGUCAGCUUGGGUGGGCUUCCAUAAUAAAUACCACGGACCAAAUGGCUUAAAUAAUAGAAAUUUAUUUUUUCACAGUUCUGGAGGCUGGAAAGUCUGAGAUCAAGAUCUGGCAGUGUUCAUUUUAUGGUGAGGCCUUUCUUCCUGGCGUGGGAUGGCCACCUUCGUGUUGCGUGCUCACCUGGUCUCUCCUCUGAGUGCACAUGCAGAGAGGGAAAGAUCUCGCCCUCUUCCUUUCCCUGUAAGUCCACCAAUCCUAAUGGAUGGGGACCACGCUCAUGACCUCAUUUAACCUUAAUUACCCCCCUGAUACAGAUACAGUCACAUUGGGGGUGAGGGCUUCACCGUAUGAAUUUUGGCCGGACACAUUUCCACCAGUAGCAAGAAGUGAGGAUGUUGCUGACUAUGCUAAUUAAGACAGAAUGAAAAGGGAGAGGCUGCAGGUACACAAGGUGCUUGAUAGAAAAGCUCACAGAGAAGGAAGGUGGGCACUGGGAUGCAGUGGUGAGAUGGCACCUAGCCCAGCAGUGCAGGAACUGGCUGCAGGAAGGAGGAGUGAGGACAAUUUCUGCGAGAGGAAGGAAGCAGAUGCCAAACAAGUUCUGUUCUCACCAGAGCAGACCUUUGAGAACUGCAAGGGGAGAGCUCACCGGUCAUCCCUCUGUGGCACCUGCAGGUCACGGGGUAUUCACUCAAAGCCCUUGAGAUGGAACGUGACGCCGGAUCUAGUUCAGGUGCAGAAUCAAUGGAUUAUGACCCCCACACCUGGUCAUGCGUAGGAAAGUGAGAGGCUACACGCUCACUUGA